GUUAGCGGCGGACGGGUGAGUAACACGUAGGCAACCUGCCUGUAAGACUGGGAUAACUACCGGAAACGGUAGCUAAGACCGGAUAAGUGAUUGUCUCGCAUGAGGGGAUCAAGAAACACGGGGCAACCUGUGGCUUACAGAUGGGCCUGCGGCGCAUUAGCUAGUUGGUGGGGUAACGGCUCACCAAGGCGACGAUGCGUAGCCGACCUGAGAGGGUGAUCGGCCACACUGGGACUGAGACACGGCCCAGACUCCUACGGGAGGCAGCAGUAGGGAAUCUUCCGCAAUGGACGCAAGUCUGACGGAGCAACGCCGCGUGAGUGAUGAAGGUUUUCGGAUCGUAAAGCUCUGUUGCCAGGGAAGAACGUCGUGGAGAGUAACUGCUCUGCGAAUGACGGUACCUGAGAAGAAAGCCCCGGCUAACUACGUGCCAGCAGCCGCGGUAAUACGUAGGGGGCAAGCGUUGUCCGGAAUUAUUGGGCGUAAAGCGCGCGCAGGCGGCCGCUUAAGUCUGGUGUUUAAGCCCGAGGCUCAACCUCGGUUCGCACUGGAAACUGGGUGGCUUGAGUGCAGGAGAGGAAAGCGGAAUUCCACGUGUAGCGGUGAAAUGCGUAGAGAUGUGGAGGAACACCAGUGGCGAAGGCGGCUUUCUGGCCUGUAACUGACGCUG
Molecule: ribosomal RNA, 670 nt
Filed under: uncultured Bacillus sp.
Lineage: Bacteria; Bacillati; Bacillota; Bacilli; Caryophanales; Bacillaceae
Description: bacterial SSU rRNA
Rfam family: Bacterial small subunit ribosomal RNA
Source: RNAcentral